AACAGGAUUAGAUACCCUGGUAGUCACGCUGUAAACGAUGUCGACUUGGAGGUUGUGCCCUUGAGGCGUGGCUUCCGGAGCUAACGCGUUAAGUCGCCCGCCUGGGGAGUACGGCCGCAAGGUUAAAACUCAAAUGAAUUGACGGGGGCCCGCACAAGCGGUGGAGCAUGUGGUUUAAUUUGAUGCAACGCGAAGAACCUUACCUACUCCUGACAUCCAGAGAAUUUGCUAGAGAUAGCUUAGUGCCUUUGGGAACUUUGAGACAGGUGCUGCAUGGCUGUUGUCAGCUCGUGUUGUGAAAUGUUGGGUUAAGUCCCGCAACGAGCGCAACCCUUAUCCUUUGUUGCCAGCACGUAAUGGUGGGAACUCAAAGGAGACUGCCGGUGAUAAACCGGAGGAAGGUGGGGAUGACGUCAAGUCAUCAUGGCCCUUACGAGUAGGGCUACACACGUGCUACAAUGGCAUAUACAAAGAGAAGCGAACUCGCGAGAGCAAGCGGACCUCAUAAAGUAUGUCGUAGUCCGGAUUGGAGUCUGCAACUCGACUCCAUGAAGUCGGAAUCGCUAGUAAUCGUAGAUCAGAAUGCUACGGUGAAUACGUUCCCGGGCCUUGUACACACCGCCCGUCACACCAUGGGAGUGGGUUGCAAAAGAAGUAGGUAGCUUAACCUUCGGGAGGGCGCUUACCACUUUGUGAUUCAUGACUGGGGUGAAGUCGUAACAAGGUAACC
This 730-nucleotide ribosomal RNA is filed under the name uncultured bacterium. RNAcentral describes it as "bacterial SSU rRNA". It matches the Rfam family "Bacterial small subunit ribosomal RNA", at positions 771 to 1501 of the family's 1533-position model. The record is from RNAcentral.